Molecule: ribosomal RNA, 374 nt
Filed under: uncultured bacterium
Lineage: Bacteria
Description: bacterial SSU rRNA
Rfam family: Bacterial small subunit ribosomal RNA
Source: RNAcentral
GUAGGGUCCGAGCGUUGUCCGGAAUUAUUGGGCGUAAAGGGCUCGUAGGCGGUCUGUCGCGUCGGGAGUGAAAACCAGGUGCUUAACACCUGGCCUGCUUUCGAUACGGGCAGACUAGAGGUACUCAGGGGAGAAUGGAAUUCCUGGUGUAGCGGUGAAAUGCGCAGAUAUCAGGAGGAACACCGGUGGCGAAGGCGGUUCUCUGGGAGUAUCCUGACGCUGAGGAGCGAAAGUGUGGGGAGCGAACAGGAUUAGAUACCCUGGUAGUCCACACCGUAAACGUUGGGCGCUAGGUGUGGGAUCCAUUCCACGGGUUCCGUGCCGCAGCUAACGCAUUAAGCGCCCCGCCUGGGGAGUACGGCCGCAAGGCUAAA